Molecule: long non-coding RNA, 1233 nt
Filed under: Astyanax mexicanus (Mexican tetra)
Lineage: Eukaryota; Metazoa; Chordata; Actinopteri; Characiformes; Acestrorhamphidae
Description: lncRNA (ENSAMXG00005011404.1)
Source: RNAcentral
GUAGAAACUAAUCUAUGAACGUUUGUUUAUUUCGUAAAAAGUAACUUACCAAGAUUUUGUAUAAAAUUAAAAAUAUAACAAAAAUAAAACAGUGUACCAACAAAAAUCUACCACAGAUCUAAAGUGCAUACAUACAAACUGCAAUCAAACAACAUCAAGAUAUGGAUUUUUUUUUUUCUGUGUCAUAAAAUUGACCAUAUUAAAUAUAUAUUAUCACGUACAAUAUGAUACGGCACACCCUUAUUGUCGUAUUUGUUCAUUCUAAAAAAAUUUAAGGCUUUUAGAAAAGACUGACAUGGCAAAAGUAAUAGGACAUGAUACUACCCCUUGCCCUAUGAUUUUUGUUAUCACACAGGCCAGUCACAGGACAGACACUCGCUGAAAAGAAUCACAUAAAUGUAUUGACAAAGGGACUAGGCUUACAAGAAUAGUGAGGGACAGGCAGGGUCAGUAAACAAAUGGCAGCAAAUAUAAACAACAUACCAGAGAGAAUAGUCAAGAAAACCAAGUUUAAACAUGGGAGAUCCAGCAAGAGAAAGCGGAAGGCAAGAGAGGAGUCAAAAAUACAAACCCACUCAGGUAUUUAUACAGGGGAGAACAGAUGGAAACUAUCAGUAGCUUGGAGAGCGAGUCCGGAUAUGUGGGUGAAUGCUGGGAAAUGGAGUCUUGUUCAGAGUGACAAGUGCAGAGUACGGAGCAGGCAGGCUGACAUUUUAAUAUAAAUUUUUUAAUAUAUUACGAAUGCUUUAUGUUUUGCCUUUCAGAGGAAAGAAGGGAGAGGAGAAGAAGAGAGAAAGAAUACAGUGAGGCCGGUGAGAGAUACCACGGUGACCCCCGAGAGACAGAACGGGACCGCCGACACCGGGAUGAAGAGAACGGAAGACUGAGAGAUAGAGAAGAGAGAGAUAAACGAAAAGAAAAGAAGCAAGAGGAGUCGAAGAAGGGCAGCAGUGAUCACAGACAUGAUAAAUACGACAGCAGGCUUAGAAAAAGCGACCAGGAGGUAUCUGCUAAGAGGCCGGAGUUAUCCUGGAGAGCUAAAGAUGCUGAAUUAAGUGAUCCGGAGAUUCCAAUGGAGAAUGAAGACAGUAAGGACAAUAACAAGGGAGACAAGGACUACGAGAAUGAAGAGUACGAGGAGGAUUUUGAGGUGGGAGGAAGGCUGUGUGUGUGUGUGUGUGUGUGUGUGUGUGUGUUUCAGUGUGUAUUAGUCAUAAUGUUUGGGUGUCUGGC